RNAcentral lists this ribosomal RNA (253 nucleotides) under uncultured bacterium. Its description in RNAcentral is "partial 16S ribosomal RNA". It matches the Rfam family "Bacterial small subunit ribosomal RNA", at positions 524 to 776 of the family's 1533-position model. The record is from RNAcentral.
UACGUAGGGUGCGAGCGUUAAUCGGAAUUACUGGGCGUAAAGUGUGCGCAGGCGGCCGAGCAAGUCGAGUGUGAAAGCCCCGGGCUUAACCUGGGAACUGCGCUCGAAACUACUUGGCUUGAGUGUGGCAGAGGGAGGUGGAAUUCCACGUGUAGCGGUGGAAUGCGUAGAGAUCGGGAAGAACAUCAGUGGCGAAGGCGGCCUGCUGGGCUGUUGCUGACGCUGAGGCGCGACAGCGUGGGGAGCAAACAGG